GAUGAACGCUAGCGGGAGGCUUAACACAUGCAAGUCGAGGGGUAAAUGGUAGCAAUACUAUGAGACCGGCGAACGGGUGCGUAACGCGUAUGCAACUUACCUUAUGCAGGGGGAUAGCCCGUGGAAACGCGGAUUAAUAUCCCAUAGAUCAGUAAUAUCGCAUGGUAUAACUGGUAAAACUCAGGUGGCAUAAGAUGGGCAUGCGUCUGAUUAGCUAGUUGGUAGGGUAACGGCCUACCAAGGCGACGAUCAGUAGGGGUUCUGAGAGGAUUAACCCCCACACUGGUACUGAGACACGGACCAGACUCCUACGGGAGGCAGCAGUGAGGAAUAUUGGUCAAUGGGCGCAAGCCUGAACCAGCCAUCCCGCGUGAAGGAAGAAGGCCCUACGGGUUGUAAACUUCUUUUCUGUUUGAAGAAUAAGCUCGUCGAGACGAGUGAUGCCGGUAGGACAGGAAUAAAGCAAUCGGCUAACUCCGUGCCAGCAGCCGCGGUAAAGCAA
RNAcentral lists this ribosomal RNA (502 nucleotides) under uncultured bacterium. RNAcentral describes it as "bacterial SSU rRNA". It matches the Rfam family "Bacterial small subunit ribosomal RNA", at positions 28 to 528 of the family's 1533-position model. The record is from RNAcentral.